GACGAACGCUGGCGGCGUGCCUAAUACAUGCAAGUAGAACGCUGAAGAGAGGAGCUUGCUCUUCUUGGAUGAGUUGCGAACGGGUGAGUAACGCGUAGGCAACCUGCCUUGUAGCGGGGGAUAACUAUUGGAAACGAUAGCUAAUACCGCAUAACCAUGGAUGACACAUGUCAUUUAUUUGAAAGGGGCAAUUGCUCCACUACAUGAUGGACCUGCGUUGUAUUAGCUAGUAGGUGAGGUAACGGCUCACCUAGGCGACGCUACAUAGCCGACCUGAGAGGGUGAUCGGCCACACUGGGACUGAGACACGGCCCAGACUCCUACAGGAGGCAGCAGUAGGGAAUCGUCGGGAAUGGGGGCAACACUGACCGAGCAACGCCGCGUGAGUGAAGAAGGUUUUCGGAUCGUAAAGCUCUGUUGUAAGUCAAGAACGAGUGUGAGAGUGGAAAGUUCACACUGUGACGGUAGCUGACCAGAAAGGGACGGCUAACUACGUG
This 497-nucleotide ribosomal RNA is filed under the name uncultured bacterium. RNAcentral describes it as "partial 16S ribosomal RNA". It matches the Rfam family "Bacterial small subunit ribosomal RNA", at positions 28 to 507 of the family's 1533-position model. The record is from RNAcentral.